GACGAACGCUGGCGGCGUGCUUAACACAUGCAAGUCGAACGGAAAGGCCCUGCUUUUGUGGGGUGCUCGAGUGGCGAACGGGUGAGUAACACGUGAGUAACCUGCCCUUGACUUUGGGAUAACUUCAGGAAACUGGGGCUAAUACCGGAUAGGAGCUCCUGCUGCAUGGUGGGGGUUGGAAAGUUUCGGCGGUUGGGGAUGGACUCGCGGCUUAUCAGCUUGUUGGUGGGGUAGUGGCUUACCAAGGCUUUGACGGGUAGCCGGCCUGAGAGGGUGACCGGCCACAUUGGGACUGAGAUACGGCCCAGACUCCUACGGGAGGCAGCAGUGGGGAAUAUUGAACAAUGGGCGGAAGCCUGAUGCAGCAACGCCGCGUGCGGGAUGACGGCCUUCGGGUUGUAAACCGCUUUCGCCUGUGACGAAGAGUGAGUGACGGUAAUGGGUAAAGAAGCAACGGCUAACUACGUG
This 468-nucleotide ribosomal RNA is filed under the name uncultured bacterium. RNAcentral's name for it is "partial 16S ribosomal RNA". It matches the Rfam family "Bacterial small subunit ribosomal RNA", at positions 28 to 507 of the family's 1533-position model. The record is from RNAcentral.